This 72-nucleotide transfer RNA is filed under the name Monosporozyma servazzii. Its description in RNAcentral is "Kazachstania servazzii partial transfer RNA". It matches the Rfam family "tRNA". From Rfam's summary of the family: Transfer RNA (tRNA) molecules are approximately 80 nucleotides in length. Their secondary structure includes four short double-helical elements and three loops (D, anti-codon, and T loops). Lineage: Eukaryota; Fungi; Ascomycota; Saccharomycetes; Saccharomycetales; Saccharomycetaceae. The record is from RNAcentral.
UCCGAUAUAGUGUAAGANCUAUCACAUCACGCUUUCACCGUGGAGACCGGGGUUCGACUCCCCGUAUCGGAG